This 323-nucleotide ribosomal RNA is filed under the name uncultured bacterium. Its description in RNAcentral is "bacterial SSU rRNA". It matches the Rfam family "Bacterial small subunit ribosomal RNA", at positions 8 to 361 of the family's 1533-position model. The record is from RNAcentral.
AGAGUUUGAUCCUGGCUCAGAACGAACGCUGGCGGCAGGCUUAACACAUGCAAGUCGAACGCCCCGCAAGGGGAGUGGCAGACGGGUGAGUAACGCGUGGGAAUCUACCCAGAACUUCGGAACAACUGAGGGAAACUUCAGCUAAUACCGGAUACGCCCUACGGGGGAAAGAUUUAUCGGUUCUGGAUGAGCCCGCGUUGGAUUAGCUAGUUGGUGAGGUAAUGGCUCACCAAGGCGACGAUCCAUAGCUGGUCUGAGAGGAUGAUCAGCCACACUGGGACUGAGACACGGCCCAGACUCCUACGGGAGGCAGCAGUGGGGAA